UACGAAGGGGGCAAACGUUGCUCGGAAUUACUGGGCGUAAAGCGUGCGCAGGCGGUGAUGUAAGACAGUUGUGAAAUCCCCGGGCUCAACCUGGGAACUGCAUCUGUGACUGCAUCGCUGGAGUGCGGCAGAGGGGGAUGGAAUUCCGCGUGUAGCAGUGAAAUGCGUAGAUAUGCGGAGGAACACCGAUGGCGAAGGCAAUCCCCUGGGCCUGCACUGACGCUCAUGCACGAAAGCGUGGGGAGCAAACAGG
Molecule: ribosomal RNA, 253 nt
Filed under: uncultured bacterium
Lineage: Bacteria
Description: partial 16S ribosomal RNA
Rfam family: Bacterial small subunit ribosomal RNA
Source: RNAcentral